Molecule: non-coding RNA, 105 nt
Filed under: Rhodococcus jostii RHA1
Lineage: Bacteria; Bacillati; Actinomycetota; Actinomycetes; Mycobacteriales; Nocardiaceae
Also listed under: 1 other name
Description: TPP riboswitch aptamer (THI element)
Rfam family: TPP riboswitch aptamer (THI element)
About the family: Vitamin B(1) in its active form thiamin pyrophosphate (TPP) is an essential coenzyme that is synthesised by coupling of pyrimidine and thiazole moieties in bacteria. The previously detected thiamin-regulatory element, thi box was extended, resulting in a new, highly conserved RNA secondary structure, the THI element, which is widely distributed in eubacteria and also occurs in some archaea. Analysis of operon structures identified a large number of new candidate thiamin-regulated genes, mostly transporters, in various prokaryotic organisms.
Source: Rfam by way of RNAcentral
GCCAGUGACACGGGGUGCUGCCCGGCGACGAGCCGGGCGGCUGAGACCACACCCGUCGAACCUGAACUGGGUAAUGCCGGCGAAGGGAUGUCGCGGAGACGGCCG